This 773-nucleotide ribosomal RNA is filed under the name uncultured beta proteobacterium. RNAcentral's name for it is "bacterial SSU rRNA". It matches the Rfam family "Bacterial small subunit ribosomal RNA", at positions 8 to 783 of the family's 1533-position model. Lineage: Bacteria; Pseudomonadati; Pseudomonadota; Betaproteobacteria. The record is from RNAcentral.
AGAGUUUGAUCCUGGCUCAGAUUGAACGCUGGCGGCAUGCCUUACACAUGCAAGUCGAACGGUAACAGGUUAAGCUGACGAGUGGCGAACGGGUGAGUAAAGUAUCGGAACGUGCCCAGUCGUGGGGGAUAACGUAGCGAAAGUUACGCUAAUACCGCAUGAGAUCCAUGGAUGAAAGCGAGGGAUCGCAAGACCUCGCGCGAUUGGAGCGGCCGAUAUCAGAUUAGGUAGUUGGUGGGGUAAAGGCCCACCAAGCCGACGAUCUGUAGCUGGUCUGAGAGGACGACCAGCCACACUGGGACUGAGACACGGCCCAGACUCCUACGGGAGGCAGCAGUGGGGAAUUUUGGACAAUGGGCGCAAGCCUGAUCCAGCCAUGCCGCGUGCAGGAUGAAGGCCUUCGGGUUGUAAACUGCUUUUGUACGGAACGAAAGGUUCUGCCCUAAUACGGUGGGAAUAUGACGGUACCGUAAGAAUAAGCACCGGCUAACUACGUGCCAGCAGCCGCGGUAAUACGUAGGGUGCGAGCGUUAAUCGGAAUUACUGGGCGUAAAGCGUGCGCAGGCGGUUAUGUAAGACAGAUGUGAAAUCCCCGGGCUCAACCUGGGAACUGCAUUAGUGACUGCAUAGCUGGAGUACGGCAGAGGGGGAUGGAAUUCCGCGUGUAGCAGUGAAAUGCGUAGAUAUGCGGAGGAACACCGAUGGCGAAGGCAAUCCCCUGGGCCUGUACUGACGCUCAUGCACGAAAGCGUGGGGAGCAAACAGGAUUAGAU